CUAUUUCCUGACAUCUGCAGAACAGUGCUGCUAGCCGAGUAUCUUUACAGUGGCGCCGCUACAGUUCUCUGUUUCCAGAGGGCUUUAUGUAACGUGUAGGCACAUGACAUAAUGGGUCCGCGGCUCAGGAGCGCAUCUGAAACGCCUUUGGGAUGCAGUUGGAGAAACUGGCAGAGUUAUGGCAAGAGAUCAGUGAGCCUUCAUGAGAUCACCCAGGAUCAUAUGAUCGCCUGAAAGCCAACUGAUAUCUUAGGCUCAUCUCCUGGACCAAGUCUUUGCUACUUGUACAUUGUGGUGUUUGCCUUUAUUUUAUGACGCUUCAACAUGAGAAGUCCUUU
This 338-nucleotide long non-coding RNA is filed under the name Mus spicilegus (steppe mouse). RNAcentral's name for it is "lncRNA (ENSMSIG00000020823.1)". The record is from RNAcentral. Lineage: Eukaryota; Metazoa; Chordata; Mammalia; Rodentia; Muridae.